UACGUAGGGGGCAAGCGUUGUCCGGAAUCAUUGGGCGUAAAGCGCGUGUAGGCGGCCAGAAAAGUCCGCUGUGAAAACUCGAGGCUUAACUUCGAGCUGUCGGUGGAAACUUUCUGGCUAGAGUCCGGAAGAGGAGAAUGGAAUUCCUGGUGUAGCGGUGAAAUGCGCAGAUAUCAGGAAGAACACCCGUGGCGAAGGCGGUUCUCUGGGACGGUACUGACGCUGAGACGCGAAAGCAUGGGGAGCGAACAGG
RNAcentral lists this ribosomal RNA (253 nucleotides) under uncultured bacterium. RNAcentral's name for it is "partial 16S ribosomal RNA". It matches the Rfam family "Bacterial small subunit ribosomal RNA", at positions 524 to 776 of the family's 1533-position model. The record is from RNAcentral.